UUCCGGUUGAUCCUGCCGGACCUGACUGCUAUCGGAUUGAUACUAAGCCAUGCGAGUCAUUGUAGUAAUACAAGGCAGACGGCUCAGUAACGCGUAGUCAACCUACCCUGUGGACGGGGAUAACCUCGGGAAACUGAGAAUAAUACCCGAUAGAACAUUAUGCCUGGAAUGGUUUAUGUUUCAAAUAAUUUAUUGCCGUAGGAUGGGACUGCGUCCUAUCAGUUUGUUGGUGAGGUAAUGGCCCACCAAGACUAUUACAGGUACGGGCUCUGAGAGGAGUAGCCCGGAGAUGGGUACUGAGACACGGACCCAGGCCCUAUGGGGCGCAGCAGGCGAGAAAACUUUGCAAUGUGCGAAAGCACGACAAGGUUAAUCCGAGUGGUUUCUGCUAAAGGAACCUUUUGUCAGUCCUAGAAACACUGAUGAAUAAGGGGUGGGCAAGUUCUGGUGUCAGCCGCCGCGGUAAAACCAGCACCUCAAGUGGUCAGGAUGAUUAUUGGGCCUAAAGCAUCCGUAGCCUGCUUUGUAAGUUUUCGGUUAAAUCCAUACGCUCAACGUAUGGGCUGCCGGGAAUACUGCAAAGCUAGGGAGUGGGAGAGGUAGACGGUACUCGGUAGGAAGGGGUAAAAUCCUUUGAUCUAUUGAUGACCACCUGUGGCGAAGGCGGUCUACCAGAACACGUCCGACGGUGAGGGAUGAAAGCUGGGGGAGCAAACCGGAUUAGAUACCCGGGUAGUCCCAGCUGUAAACUAUGCAAACUCAGUGAUGCAUUGGCUUGAUGCCAAUGCAGUGCUGCAGGGAAGCCGUUAAGUUUGCCGCCUGGGAAGUACGUACGCAAGUAUGAAACUUAAAGGAAUUGGCGGGGGAGCACCACAAGGGGUGAAGCCUGCGGUUCAAUUGGAGUCAACGCCGGGAAUCCCGCGG
Molecule: ribosomal RNA, 924 nt
Filed under: uncultured archaeon
Lineage: Archaea
Description: bacterial SSU rRNA
Rfam family: Archaeal small subunit ribosomal RNA
Source: RNAcentral